UACGGAGGAUGCGAGCGUUAAUCGGAAUUACUGGGCGUAAAGCGUGCGCAGGCGGUUAUGUAAGACAGAUGUGAAAUCCCCGGGCUCAACCUGGGAACUGCAUUUGUGACUGCAUAGCUAGAGUACGGCAGAGGGGGAUGGAAUUCCGCGUGUAGCAGUGAAAUGCGUAGAUAUGCGGAGGAACGCCGAUGGCGAAGGCAAUCCCCUGGACCUGUACUGACGCUCAUGCACGAAAGCGUGGGGAGCAAACAGG
RNAcentral lists this ribosomal RNA (253 nucleotides) under uncultured bacterium. RNAcentral describes it as "partial 16S ribosomal RNA". It matches the Rfam family "Bacterial small subunit ribosomal RNA", at positions 524 to 776 of the family's 1533-position model. The record is from RNAcentral.